Molecule: long non-coding RNA, 617 nt
Organism: Alosa sapidissima (American shad)
Lineage: Eukaryota; Metazoa; Chordata; Actinopteri; Clupeiformes; Clupeidae
Exons: 3
Source: RefSeq, a predicted model, not a curated record
GAAAGACACUACCUUCCUACAAGGACAAGACUGUACUUUAUGCAGAGAACGUCUAAUAAGGUCCAUCCUGACAGGAUGAGAGCUGUGCCUGUGCUGUGCCAGGAGAGGACUGAGCUUGCAGCUGUCAUCCCCUCUGUCGCCCCCUAGUGGCUCCAGGCUGCUCCUCCAGCUGACUUAGGAGUUCAGCAAAACUCCAGUAUGCACCACCAGCUCUCUCUUCUCAGGGACAAGAACACCCCUCCAGAGGAUGCAUCAACAACACAGAACCCCCCACCCGCAGAGCAGGUGCCAGGGCUUGCAUGUCUCACCGUCUGAUCCUUAAUAUCCCCGAUGUCAAUCUCCCAGAAUUUAUAUAUAUAUUUUAAUUUGUGCUCUUAUAUUAACCAGAAAUAAUCACUUCAGAAUGAAUAGCACAUUAUUAAGCCUUCUAGUGGCUCUCACUGUGUUUUAUCUGUGGUUUGUAUCAGUGUGAAAUUCAUCUCCAGCCAUUCUUCAGUCUGAAUACGUUUUAUAUGAGCCCCCAUUUAUCAUCGCCUGUCAGCUCUUAAAUGUAGCAUUAUUCAUUGUAGAGUUAUAAAUUGGAAUCAUUAAACAGUUUUUCAUUUAAUCUGAUGCAA